RNAcentral lists this ribosomal RNA (814 nucleotides) under uncultured bacterium. RNAcentral's name for it is "bacterial SSU rRNA". It matches the Rfam family "Bacterial small subunit ribosomal RNA", at positions 8 to 832 of the family's 1533-position model. The record is from RNAcentral.
AGAGUUUGAUCAUGGCUCAGGAUGAACGCUAGCGGCAGGCCUAAUACAUGCAAGUCGAACGGUGUAGUAAUACACAGUGGCGCACGGGUGCGUAACACGUAUGCAACCUACCUAUUAUUGGGGGAUAGCCUUUGGAAACGGAGAUUAAUACCGCAUAAGACAGUGACAUGGCAUCAUGUAGCUGUUAAAGCUUCGGCGAUAAUAGAUGGGCAUGCGUCCAAUUAGUUAGUUGGUGAGGUAACGGCUCACCAAGACGAUGAUUGGUAGGGGAUCUGAGAGGAUAAUCCCCCACACUGGCACUGAGAUACGGGCCAGACUCCUACGGGAGGCAGCAGUAGGGAAUAUUUGGCAAUGGACGGAAGUCUGACCCAGCCAUGCCGCGUGCAGGAUGAAGGCGUUAUGCGUUGUAAACUGCUUUUUUAUAGGAAGAAGACUCCCUUGCGAGGGAAAGUGACGGUACUAUAAGAAUAAGCACCGGCUAACUCCGUGCCAGCAGCCGCGGUAAUACGGAGGGUGCGAGCGUUGUCCGGAUUUAUUGGGUUUAAAGGGUGCGUAGGCGGUUUAUUAAGUCAGUGGUGAAAGACGGUCGCUCAACGAUUGCAGUGCCAUUGAUACUGGUAGACUUGAGUUCGUAUGAGGUAGCUGGAAUGGAUAGUGUAGCGGUGAAAUGCAUAGAUAUUAUCCAGAACUCCAAUUGCGUAGGCAGGUUACUAAUACGAUACUGACGCUGAUGCACGAAAGUGUGGGGAUCAAACAGGAUUAGAUACCCUGGUAGUCCACACUGUAAACGAUGAUGACUAACUGUUUGCCCUUU